RNAcentral lists this ribosomal RNA (484 nucleotides) under uncultured bacterium. RNAcentral's name for it is "partial 16S ribosomal RNA". It matches the Rfam family "Bacterial small subunit ribosomal RNA", at positions 30 to 507 of the family's 1533-position model. The record is from RNAcentral.
AUUGAACGCUGGCGGCAGGCCUAACACAUGCAAGUCGAGCGGAUGAAGGGAGCUUGCUCCUGGAUUCAGCGGCGGACGGGUGAGUAAUGCCUAGGAAUCUGCCUGGUAGUGGGGGAUAACGUCCGGAAACGGGCGCUAAUACCGCAUACGUCCUGAGGGAGAAAGUGGGGGAUCUUCGGACCUCACGCUAUCAGAUGAGCCUAGGUCGGAUUAGCUAGUUGGUGGGGUAAAGGCCUACCAAGGCGACGAUCCGUAACUGGUCUAAGAGGAUGACCAGUCACACUGGAACUGAGACACGGUCCAGACUCCUACGGGAGGCAGCAGUGGGGAAUAUUGGACAAUGGGCGAAAGCCUGAUCCAGCCAUGCCGCGUGUGUGAAGAAGGUCUUCGGAUUGUAAAGCACUUUAAGUUGGGAGGAAGGGCAGUAAGUUAAUACCUUGCUGUUUUGACGUUACCAACAGAAUAAGCACCGGCUAACUUCGUG